UACGAAGGGGGCUAGCGUUGCUCGGAAUUACUGGGCGUAAAGCGCGCGUAGGCGGAUCGUUAAGUCGGGGGUGAAAUCCUUGGAGCUCAACUCCAGAACUGCCUUCGAUACUGGCGAUCUUGAGUCCGGGAGAGGUGAGUGGAAUUCCCAGUGUAGAGGUGAAAUUCGUAGAUAUUGGGAAGAACACCGGUGGCGAAGGCGGCCAACUGGACCAUUCUGACGCUGAGGCGCGAAAGCGUGGGGAGCAAACAGG
This 253-nucleotide ribosomal RNA is filed under the name uncultured bacterium. Its description in RNAcentral is "partial 16S ribosomal RNA". It matches the Rfam family "Bacterial small subunit ribosomal RNA", at positions 524 to 776 of the family's 1533-position model. The record is from RNAcentral.